UAUUUUCUUCCUUUAGUUAAUGCAUGUUGGGGAAUGAUAGUGGGGUAAUAUGUAUCCUGAUUUGCAAUCACCCCACCUGCUUUGAGAAAAAAUUCAAACGGGGUGUAAGAACAUUCUUUUGGCACAGUCAGGUCUGUAUAUCUGUUAGUCUCUUACGUACACAGUUUCUCCAGACUCCUUUCCCUUUAGAAUAAGAUAAAUUAGGUUAUUAUAAGAAUGUUAUUAUUGCGGUAAAAAAGAUGUACUAGUAACAAAGUUUUUUCUUAACAGGACAUAAAUGAUGGCGGAGAGAUCAAUAAACAUCUUAAUGUGAUUCAAAUAUGGUUGAGACUUGAGACCCAAAAUCAACAUCAGUCACAUCACCACAAGCAUCCUUAAUUAGCAUGUUCAGCGUGAGAAAUUACUUGAGUUGAAUUCAUACAAUCUACUGCACGUUAUGCUUGUAGAAGUGAUGCAUAGCACCUGUCUCAAAAAUAAUUAAUGUAAUUAUAAGCAAUAAAUAUAUCCCAAUUUGAGAGGAAACAUUAAUGAGGGAAACAAUAUACAUAUAUAUACACACACAUAUGUAUGUAUAUAUGUAUGUAAAGUCUGGUUGAAAUGAGAAAUUAAGGACAAGGUCAUGAGAAAUUAAUGCACCACACAUUAUACUGUUAUAAUUAUAUAAAUGCACCCAUCUAUGCAUGUGUGCAAGCAUUUUUUUUUUUUUUUUUGGGACAAGUUUAAGGCACAUCAACUCUGACCCAAAAGAAAGGGAAAAAAGGGAUUCAAAUGGUGGUACCCAAGAGUUUGUUUGAGGGCAGGCAGAACAAGGUCAUGAUCAGCAUCGGUACACCAAAGCUUAGAAGCGACAAACAAUUCAUCCCUGCUCUUAAUUAAUCCAAUCUCCAAUGCUUUAGCCACAGCUAUGCCAAGAGCUUCCUCAGUGCCAUAACAUGCCGCUGUAUCAAAUGCCUGUAUCCAAUCUCCAUUGCAUCAAUAAAAGUUGAUACUAAUUGCUCUGAUGGUGGCAAAGGAUGCGCGGCGCAUCCCAAGCCCACCACUGGCAUUUUGUGGCCUGAGUUUAACACUACUGUUUCUGGGAUUUUUUGUUCACCCUUUUCCAUCGUCUCUGGCAUAAUUGUAUUAAUGGAGAAAAAUGCAAGAAGAAAUUUCUGUCAAAAGGCAGUAGUUAUCUUCAAUUGAUGAAAAGAGGGGUGAGGAGAAGUGGUGAGUGACAUCAUAAAUUCAUUCACACUCACCUUUUUUCUAAUUGUGAUUGGUAUCCACCGGGCAGAGAAGGAAAGAAAAUCAAGAAAAUGACAAACAUGACGUUUCGAGAAAAGGGCAAGAACAAGACGGAAAUAAAGGACCACAACCAAUUGCCUAAAAAAAAAAGAAAACGUAUACCACUAGUAUUAAUUAUCCUCUUUUUUUUUUUUGAAUAUUCCAACCCUUUUCAUUUUCUGUUUUAGUACAUUUUGGAGACUAGGGAAAGAGAUAGGUGCACGCACCUUAAAAAGUUAAUUAGUUAGCUUUCUACGUUAAGGUAUACUUUGAUGUGAAAAAACUUUGCUUUCCGUGCUUAAUUUGGCCCAAAGAAUGAAAAGGAAGCCCCGUUUUGAUUUGUCCAAUUGGCUGUUUAAUCGAGAAUAGCGAGUACACAAAACUUAGCCAAUAAAAUGGAAUUAGUACAUAAGUGCAAUUAUUUUUCUAAAACUUAGGCUUAAUAUUUGAUAAAAAGUGCUCGUAUAUCACUUUUUUUUUAGCUUAGAAGUAAGAAAGUGCUCAUGUAUGUCAUGUAAGUAACUUUGCACCUUAACGCCUGAAUUUGAGAAAAUGACAAAAAAAAUAGAAUUAGGUCUCGUCUGGAUCGCUAUUUUUUGGAGUUUUUGUAGAAAAAUAUACUCAAACGAUUUGAUAAAUGUGAGAUAAAAAGGAGAUUGAAAAAUGUUAUCAUUUGAAAAUUACACUUUAAAGAGUUGAAUGGCCUUUUCAGAUUUUUUUUUAAAAAAAAGUUUAAUGACCAAACCAUGCAAUUUAAAAUACUCAGUGAUCUUUUGUGCUAUUUACUCUCUACAUAAUCAUUUUAUUUCUUUUUCCUGUUGAUUAUUUAUUUGUUUUUAAAUCUUUAUAUAUGAUAUAUUAAACAAUCCGACAAUUGACAACUGAUAAUCAAACCUACUAUGGUGUUUUGGUAAAAGAUAAGUCACUACGAUGUUGGGUUCGGCUGCUUCCCUAUUUGAUUUGAGAAUACCCCAACAGGAUUGGAAUAAUGUUGAUCAUCAUGGUAGAGUUGAAGUUCACAUUGUCCAGAAAUUCAGAUGUCGCCAUCCCAAAAUUCCUCCAAAGAUUUGUAUGGCCCUGUUGGAUCAACAAGCGCUUCCGUUCCAGGGGCUCUACGCUGAGGAAUCUGCAGAAUUUGAUCCAUUUCUUCCUUGGUGAGUUCCCAAUCAAAUACUUGGAGGUUCUGUUUCAUCCUUUCCUUGCUGAAGCUCUUCACAAUGACGCUUGCUCCUUGCAGAUAUACCCAUCUCAAUGCCACCUGCGUUUGGAUUGAUCAUUUUUUUAAAAACAAGAUUUUCAUAAAAAAAUGCUACAAUAAUAUAUAAUAAAAAUAACCACAAAAAUACUAAAAACAACCUCAAAAACAACCUAAAAAACAAUAAAAGUUUUUCGCCUAUAUUGUUACAAUAAAAUAUUUCAAGAACACCCUAAAAAACAGUUAAUUCAAACGGAAAUUAUAAUUGUUUAAUCUCUGUCUGCGCGUGUGUGUGUGUGUGUGUGUUUUUCAAUUUUCUUGAAAGCUAUAUGCACUAAAAAAAAAUUUUAACUUCGAAUAUGUCAUAAUAAUUCAGGACCUCUGCCACGGUCUUGUUUCUUGAGUCAGCAAUAUUUUUGAUGAUUGGAUUCUCCAUGACUGCAUUGCUACCCCAAGAAGUACCAUAACCUCCAAGAGGAGACCAAGCGAUUAUGUGAAUUCCUUUCUCUUUGGCAAAUGGUACCAAUUUUCGCUGCUGCCAACCAACAUUCAUCUCCACCUGAAAAUUUUUCAUUCGAAAAUUCUAUCAUGCAUUCCACUAUAGUGGCCAAUGUUGGCGAGGUUAAUUUCAAAGAAAGUAAAAGAGAAAAAGUCUCAAACGGGCUGCUUGCUAAUUCCACUAUCAAAUUACAUGUCUAUUGUCCCCAAACCCCAGUUAACUGGUAAACUAUGAAAUUUCUGGUUUUACUCUCAAGAUUUGCAGUUUACCUAGAACCCCAUUUACCCAAUUCCAAAAAAAAAAAGAGAGAGAGAGAAAUCACCUGAUUAACUGCUGGAAGGAUGGUAGCACUUUCUUGGAGUUUGGAGAUUUUUUCACAGGUGAAGUUGCUCAAACCUAUAGACUUUGUCAAGCCCAAUUUGCUGCAUUCUUCCAUGGCCUUCCACGUUCCAUGCAUGUCAAAAGGGAGAAUUGCAUCUUUGGUGAAAUUGAGCAUCUCAGUACCCUGCUUUAGCCUCAGAGGCCAGUGAAUCAAAUAAAGAUCCAAAUACUCUAGCCCCAACUUCCUAGCAAAGAAGAAUUAUGACAAGAAAGAGUAAGUCAAUCAUGUAUCAGAAAACAAAAUUUCUUGGUGGAUGAAUCAAAGAAACAAAUAAUUUCUCCUGAUCAUAUUCCAUGCCAUUGUCAGUGAGAACAAUGAAAAUGAUCAAUUUUUUUUCUUUGAAUGCAAGGCCUUAUAGUCAAGUGAUUUUGAUUUUAGUGACAGGUACGGGCCAUAUGAACAGAACUCAAAAUAUCACAUAUGAGUUUUAGUGUCGUACAAGGGUGUUCAUGUUCAUUUAAAAUCCUUUCCAAAAGAGUUCAACAGUUCAGUAAUGGUCGCUGGUGUAUCCCAAAUUCAUUAAAAAUGGAGUUCAACUACCAAAAAUUCGCUGUUUGGAUUGUAUUUUCCAUGGAUUUUUCGUUGGAAAAUUACUGUAGCGAUUUGAUGUAUGUGAGGUAAAAGGUGAUAGGGAAAUGUGUUCACGGAAAACAAGACCAUUUUUUUGGUGAAAAAUGGCUAUCCAAACAAGCCUAAAUUUCUAGCGAUUGUCUGAUUAAAUAGUCAAGAUGAUGCGAUGAUGCAAGGGUUAAUUGCACUUCACACAUUCAACUAUACUCCAAUUUUUACUUUGGUCAUUCAACUUUAGAGUACAACACUUUAAUCCCUAAAAUAGAAAAUUUGUCCUACUUUAAUCUCUGAUGUAUAAAAUUUGUCACAUUUAAAUCUUCAAAGUAUAAAUUUGUUUCACUUUAGUCCUUAAAGCACAAAAUUUAUCCUAGUCUCACUUUCACUGAAGAUUUUACUUAAGUGGGACAAAUUUUAUCCCUUAAAUGUCCCAUUUUGAAGUUUAGGACCAAAAUUAGAAUGUAAAUGUAUUUGAAGGGUGCCAAGUGAAAUUAACCUAUAAUACAAGCAUCCUAGUUUGUAGUCUGUCCAGCAAGACGACGGACAGACAUGAUGGCGGGGAUAUCAAGAAGACUUUGAGAUAUUUCAUAUCACCACAAAAAUCCAUAAUUUUUUUUUUUACAGAACAAAAAUUCAUAAUUAGUAUGAUUAGCGUGAAAAAUCAAUUGGCUUCUUCAUCCCCAUCCUUAUUCCCCCCUUCCUCUCCAAACAUUCCUCUCGACUAAACGUUGUACUUCUAUCCAUCCAUGGAAAGUGAUAAUCUCUAUUUCAGAUACUCUUAAUGGAGUUACAACCAAUGAAAAAGUCCAAAUUUGGGGAAAAACAAUGUCGGAAAACUAUGUGCUACUCCCAAAAGAAUCAAAGAGUUAAAUAUAAAAAUACCUGUUCUAAUCAAGAACCAGGCAGGUCUUCUUCAGUAAUAAGACUCAUGACCAAGGCACCAGAAAUUUCAUGGUAUAGAAUAUAUUAACAUUCUCAUGUCUAUGCAUGAAUAUUCUUAUUCAGGUAUUAGAUAAGGGAAAAAAUUAGAAGAAUUAGGGAAAAAAAAAAAGAGAUUCAUAUGGUGAUGAGGAAAGUACCCAAGAGUUUGUUUGAGGGCGGGCAGAACAAGGUCAUGAUCAGCAUCAGUACACCAAAGUUUAGAAGUGAUGAACAAUUCAUCCCUGCUCUUAAUUAAUCCAAUCUCUAGUGCUUUAGCCACAGCUUUACC
RNAcentral lists this long non-coding RNA (5116 nucleotides) under Coffea arabica (coffee). RNAcentral describes it as "long non-coding RNA (CARA_LNC002769)". Lineage: Eukaryota; Viridiplantae; Streptophyta; Magnoliopsida; Gentianales; Rubiaceae. The record is from RNAcentral.